This 223-nucleotide long non-coding RNA is filed under the name Arabidopsis thaliana (thale cress). RNAcentral describes it as "long non-coding RNA (ATHA_LNC000511)". Lineage: Eukaryota; Viridiplantae; Streptophyta; Magnoliopsida; Brassicales; Brassicaceae. The record is from RNAcentral.
AAUCUUCAGGCUUGGUCGCUUCGGGGUCGUCGACCUCCUCAGGCUCAUCAUCUAACCAUCCUUCGGGUUUCUCAGCUUCCUCAUCUUCAAUCUCCAUAGGUGCAUCCUCAUCCCAGUCCUCAGGCUUCACGGCAUUUGGAUCAGGAAUCUUGGCUCUUUCGUCCCAAUCCUCUGGUUUCUUGUCUUCAGGGUCAGGGAUGGUCUUGGCAGGGAUCAAUGCAGG